RNAcentral lists this transfer RNA (72 nucleotides) under Camelus bactrianus (Bactrian camel). It matches the Rfam family "tRNA". From Rfam's summary of the family: Transfer RNA (tRNA) molecules are approximately 80 nucleotides in length. Their secondary structure includes four short double-helical elements and three loops (D, anti-codon, and T loops). RNAcentral also lists the same sequence under 3 other names. The record is from Rfam by way of RNAcentral. Lineage: Eukaryota; Metazoa; Chordata; Mammalia; Artiodactyla; Camelidae.
GAGGGUAUAGGUCAGUGGUAGAGUGCAUGCCUAGCAUGCAAGAGGUCCUGGGUUCAAUCCCCAUUACCGCCA